UUGGAUGACUUUAGGUUGGCAUAUACAGUAUAUGUGAGUCAACUACUUUUUCCCUUAUUCUUCUAUUCUAUACAGGGUGGAGGUACCAGAGUUAUGCACAUAGAAAUCAGCCCCAUCCGCUUGCUACAGAGUUAUCUGGUGGUAUCUCGAUCAUUCCACACGAGAUAAGCCCUGCCGCCAUCUUUGCUCACCUGAUUCGGAGCAGCAAUUUACUGCAGCUAGCGCAUGUAAUCAUGCCCACAUCCGGGUGAGUAUCCAGUGGUUUCCUUCUGCGCACUGUUAUGCAUUAACGCAAUUUCAGUUCUUUAAUGGAUCCUGAUGAUGUCAUUCAGGUGAUUAUUUAUUGUGUAGAUGCACCCUAUUUUCUGACUUCCUGAGUUAUGGUGGAGCUUAGCUUUUAUGUGAGAUCGAAGGGAAUUCACUUCAGUGAUGGAUGAAAAAAUCAUUUGUGAGAGUUGGGUGUUUUAUGUAUUGUUAAUUGUUAAAGGAGAUUGAAAUUCCUGGCUUGGCGUUGGUGGUCAUAGUCUACGGCUCUCAAUUUUGUCCUCCUUCACAGAUUUAGUCCUUUACUAGCUUUCAGUGCUUCACUUUUGCCAUUGAAAAUGUAACCUUCAGGGAUUUUCAGAGAGCAACAUUCAGUGGUUCAUAUACAGGUCUGAUAGGUAUUGUGGCAUUCCAGUCCUUGGCCGUGGAGUUCAUUCUUGCAUAUGUAUUUUUUUAGUUCAUUCUUACAUAUGUAUUGUAUUCUUAGCAGCAAUAUUUUUUGAUGAUAUGUCCGACAUCAUCUAAUCUUUUGUGAACACUUGCUAGAGUAUAUGAUACAAUGAGAGUAUCUUAUUU
RNAcentral lists this long non-coding RNA (840 nucleotides) under Triticum aestivum (bread wheat). Its description in RNAcentral is "long non-coding RNA (TAES_LNC007161)". Lineage: Eukaryota; Viridiplantae; Streptophyta; Magnoliopsida; Poales; Poaceae. The record is from RNAcentral.